This 261-nucleotide ribosomal RNA is filed under the name uncultured bacterium. RNAcentral describes it as "partial 16S ribosomal RNA". The record is from RNAcentral.
CUGCUGCCUCCCGUAGGAGUUUGGGCCGUGUCUCAGUCCCAAUGUGGCCGUUCACCCUCUCAGGCCGGCUACUGAUCGUUGCCUUGGUAGGCCAUUACCCCACCAACUAGCUAAUCAGACGCGGAACCAUCGUAUACCACCAGUAGUUUUUCACACCGCUUCAUGCGAAGCUGUGCGCUUAUGCGGUAUUAGCACCUAUUUCUAAGUGUUACUCCCCCAGUAUACGGCAGGUUUUCCACGCGUUACUCACCCGUCCGCCAA